GUGUCAGCAGCCGCGGUAAUACGUAGGAACCAAGCGUUGUCCGGAAUUACUGGGUGUAAAGGGUGCGUAGGCGGGCAUGUGCGUCAGAGGUUAAAUCCCACGGCUCAACCGUGGACCUGCCUUUGAUACGGCAUGUCUUGAGUGCGAGAGAGGAUGGUAGAAUUCCUGGUGUAGCGGUGAAAUGCGUAGAUAUCAGGAGGAAUACCGGUGGCGAAGGCGGCCAUCUGGCUCGUCACUGACGCUGAGGCACGAAAGCGUGGGGAGCAAACAGGAUUAGAUACCCUGGUAGUCCACGCCCUAAACGAUGUAUGCUUGGUGUUGGGGGAAUUAUCCCUCAGUGCCGAAGGUAACCCAUUAAGCAUACCACCUGGGGAGUACGAUCGCAAGGUUGAAACUUAAAUGAAUUGACGGGG
This 413-nucleotide ribosomal RNA is filed under the name uncultured prokaryote. RNAcentral describes it as "bacterial SSU rRNA". It matches the Rfam family "Bacterial small subunit ribosomal RNA", at positions 505 to 918 of the family's 1533-position model. The record is from RNAcentral.